Molecule: ribosomal RNA, 426 nt
Filed under: uncultured bacterium
Lineage: Bacteria
Description: bacterial SSU rRNA
Rfam family: Bacterial small subunit ribosomal RNA
Source: RNAcentral
UAGGGAAUAUUGGACAAUGGGCGCAAGCCUGAUCCAGCCAUGCCGCGUGCAGGAUGAAGGCCCUCGGGUUGUAAACUGCUUUUGUACGGAACGAAAAGCCUCUUUCUAAUAAAGAGGGGUGAUGACGGUACCGUAAGAAUAAGUACCGGCUAACUACGUGCCAGCAGCCGCGGUAAUACGUAGGGUGCGAGCGUUAAUCGGAAUUACUGGGCGUAAAGCGUGCGCAGGCGGUCUUGCAAGACAGUGGUGAAAUCCCCGGGCUCAACCUGGGAACUGCCAUUGUGACUGCAAGGCUGGAGUACGGCAGAGGGGGAUGGAAUUCCGCGUGUAGCAGUGAAAUGCGUAGAUAUGCGGAGGAACACCGAUGGCGAAGGCAGUCCCCUGGGCCUGUACUGACGCUCAUGCACGAAAGCGUGGGGAGCAAAC